AUGUCCUCUUCUUCGUGGCAUCCAGUUCAAGAAGGGUCAACCGCGAGCUGCAUCGACAUCGAGUCGAGCGUUCCUCUUCUUCGUCGGGCCUGCACCAUCUCGGGGUGCAGCCGUGCAGCACCUGCUGCUGUGGAGGACGGAUGGCGCGGUGCUGGUAGAGCUGCUCCGGGCCUGCCCAGUCGAGCUCAACCACUAAUUGUUCAACCAAGCGCUGCACCACCACUUCCUCUACACUCGCUACCAGUGGCUUGGUCUCUUGACUCUUGUAGAUGCCCAGUGUCUGGCGAGGCCGCAGGGGGCGAGCCGAACGAUCCGGAGCAGCGGGCGAAACCGCGGAAGGCGGACCGUUCAGUUCUGCGUACAUUUUUGAAGAUGGAGGUGGAUUAUAAUGCUUUGGUGAUAAUAACACCAACCUUACAGCAAUAUCAUUUAUGA
This 435-nucleotide ribosomal RNA is filed under the name Triticum aestivum (bread wheat). Its description in RNAcentral is "partial small subunit ribosomal RNA". Lineage: Eukaryota; Viridiplantae; Streptophyta; Magnoliopsida; Poales; Poaceae. The record is from RNAcentral.